This 233-nucleotide ribosomal RNA is filed under the name uncultured bacterium. RNAcentral describes it as "partial 16S ribosomal RNA". It matches the Rfam family "Bacterial small subunit ribosomal RNA", at positions 15 to 229 of the family's 1533-position model. The record is from RNAcentral.
GAUCCUGGCUCAGGACGAACGCUGGCGGCGCGCCUAACACAUGCAAGUCGAACGGAGUUUGUUGGAUUGAUCCUUCGGGUGAUUGAUAGCAAACUUAGUGGCGGACGGGUGAGUAACACGUGAGCAACCUGCCUUACAGAGGGGGAUAACGUUCUGAAAAGAACGCUAAUACCGCAUAACAUAUUGAGUGGGCAUCCACUUGAUAUCAAAGGAGCAAUCCGCUGUAAGAUGGG